Molecule: long non-coding RNA, 3400 nt
Filed under: Canis lupus familiaris (dog)
Lineage: Eukaryota; Metazoa; Chordata; Mammalia; Carnivora; Canidae
Description: lncRNA (ENSCAFG00040019267.1)
Source: RNAcentral
GGGGACCCGAGGCCAGAGCCUGGCGCCCGCGGGCGGGGCGGGGGGCUGGCGGCGGGGCCAGAACUUGGCCCUCGGACACAGGGGCGGGGCUGAACCGCCUCCCAGCUACUACGCACUGGGGGCAUCUCGCACUGGGGGCAUCUCGGAGGUGCCUUCAGCCUCAGAGGCCUCGGAGUUGAUUUCCUCCUCCAUAAAAACAGGAUCCCCAGGACCUACCUCUCAGGUGAGCCGCAGGGAUGCCAAGCAGCCGACUCCCAGCCCCGGAGACGCUCUCCCUACAGGCAGGGAACCAGGCAUGAGACAUUUUGGAAUCACAGGAACUAAGGAACCAUCGACAACCCAGGGUACUGCCUUUGGGAGGGCUCAGGAUGAUGCUACAGAGUCAGUGGCUUCUGGGAUGGGGCUUGAAGGAGCAACAGAAGUUCAUGCCCGGGGGCACCUGGGUGGCUCAGUGGUUGAGCGUCUGCCUUUGGCUCAGGUCGGCUCAGGGCGUGAUCCUGGGGUGCCGGAUGGGGUCCCCGCAUGGAGCCUGCUUCUCCCUCUGCCUGUGUCUCUGCCUCUCUCCCUGUCUCUCAUGAAUAACUAAAUAAAAUCUUAAAAAGAAGAAGAAGAAGAAGAAGAAGAAGAAGAAGAAGAAGAAGAAGAAGAAGAAGAAGAAGAAGUAGUAGUAGUAGUAGUAGUUGUUCACUGGGGGCAGAAGAGACAUGCUGUUCCAGGCAGGAGGAAGAGCGUGCACAAAGACUUGGGGGUGUGAAAGUCCGUGAUGUGUCUGGAGGAGCGAGCAGAUUGAGUGGCUUGGACCAAGGGUGCUGGAGGGGAGGAGUUGAAGGAGGGAAGAGGUGUGAGGGGUAGCUGAAAUGACAGAUACCCCAGGCCAAGGGAUUUAGACUUGGGUUUGUUGCAGCAAGCCAAAGUGUCCGCUCCACUCCUGAGAGAGACAGACAGGAACAUGAACGGCUAGAAGGAGCAAAGCUGACAGGAAGUGAGAUAAAAAGGUCAGUGCCAGCCCAGUGAUAAAAAGGCCAUUCACGCAUCCUCUGGGGACUAUGGUGCACAUGUAAGCCCCAGGGACCCCUUCAGAAGGCCACAGUUGUUACUGAGCUCCAAGCAGUUAUUGUCAUGCUGCCGUGUGAGCUUAGAGUUGUCAGAUAUUUUCAAGAAAAAUUAGAAAUGUCGAUUUUUAUGGAUUGCCCCUGGGUUUUUAGAUGUUGGUAACUAUUUUUUAAAUUUUAAAACCGUGUGUGUGUGUGUGUGUGUGUGUGUGUCCAAUACGCACAUAAACACGAAUGUGCAACUGCUGCAGAGUUGCAGGAAAGCCACUGGAAGUUUCGUCAAGAGGGAGGUGCUCUGAAUAGCAGGCUUGGGUGUUCGGAUGCCCACUCGGGGGCAGUAUGGAGGAAUGGCCUGGUAAGUGGGACAGUUGCAAGUGUCUGGACCAAAGGGGCCGAGGCCUGAACAAAGGCGGCUGACCUGGAGAGGAGGGAAGGCUCCCAGACACAGUGUAGGGGUCUUCGGGGAUUAGCCCUUCCUGGGGGGGUUAAGGGUUUAAGUCUCCUAUCCCUUUGUCCCCCUUAAGAGAUUGCAAAAACAUCAUCUAGUGGGUGGGGAGGCCUAUUUGGAGUGGGAUGCUCCUGAAAAUCCCCAAGGUUGCGCUGUGGCAGGCCACCCCGAAGGACUGGGUAAGACAUUCCAAACAGCCUGAAGAGGGAGGGGCCGUGCUGGGGGAGGGGCUCAGGAAUCCGCCUGGCCUUCAGGAAGACCCCAGCCAGCCCUAAUGGGAACCACACGUGGGGUGAGCUGGAAUCCCGGAUUGCCUGUGACGUUUGGCUUUGGAAUUGGACACUUGGCUCAGGUCACUCCUGACCCGCUGAAGUCUGAGGCCUCCCAGCUCAGCUCCCCUCCUAAUUGCUGCCAGACACAUUCUGCCCUGUACCCGGCUCCGGGGGCCGGCCUGGGUCCCCCAUCUCUUGCUAGGAGAACACCUAUGCUCUGAGGGAGUGUGUGUGUGUGUGUGUGGGGGGGGGGUCAGACAAGAAUUCUACAAGGCUUGAUCCUCUCAGAAUAAGCAGAACAAGAAGUCCCUUCCAGUGUUUCCCCAAACAGGACCCUCUGAACUGGUGCUAGAGCCCCGGGCUGCUUCUGGCUUUGCAAAGCCUGGUGCCCUCAGCCUCCGUCCUUCCCGUCCCCUGCAGCAUCUGUAGGGUGCUGCGUGGCUCUGACCGUCUGAGCCUCCCCCAUAUCCAUACCCUGCAGGGUUAAUUUCCUGCGGGACCUCAGGCAUGAGGAACAGGGAGCAGUCCAAAGGGCAGGGAAGAGCCCUGAGAGCAGGUGCUUUGCUCCUGAAGAUUUGCUGUUUGUAAAAAACGGGAGGGGAACAGGUCUCUCCUAACGUUUUCUGGUAUUUUCUCUUCUCCUCCUUCAAACACCCCCUGGCCCAGGGAUGAAGCUGUGUUACAGGAUGUCUCCGCACAAUCUGGAGGGCCUGCAAAAAGUCCCAGUCCUUAUUUGGCUGGUUCACUCCAGCCUCUGGGCCGUGGCUGUCUUCACACCUGCCAAACCCUCUCUUCAUAUGGCCCUGCAACUAUACUGUGUAUGAAUGGGGAGGGGGUGCUUCCUGCUUAAGUCCCAGACACUUGCCUUGCCAGUGGCCCCCUCCAGGCCCUCAGGCCCAGCCCCCUCCCCCUGGGUACCCUCCUUGAGAACUUCCAGGCAGCCUGCUCAGCAUCAGGCCAGGGGCCCAGGAGCUUGGACUGACUGCAUUCCUGGGGGAAGGGGAGAGAAGAGGAGGGCGGCACAGAGCCCCCCUCCUCCCUUCCAGCACAGACCCCAUGCUGCCCAGCCCCAAGCUCUCUCUAGCCUGCUGUAGUUGGCUAGAGUAAUGCCAGCAAACCCCUGGCAAAGCCCAAGCCAGAGGCCUAGGGGCCUCUCUUGAGGAUGAAGCCAUCCCUGCCUUGGAGCUCUCCGGCUCCAGCACCGAUUGGGGGCCCCGGGUGGGCGUGGUAAGAGGUCGCUGGGGCGAGGCCACCAGGUGCAGAAGGGAUGCAGGGCGGAGGGCUACAGCGGCCCUGGGCAUCCUUUAGCACCGCAGGCCUGCGGGCCAGCGCCAUCCCCUGAGCCUCUGGGGGGUGGGGGGGCCGAGGGACUUGCAGAGAAAUCAGGCCCAGCCCAAUGGAACUCAGGCAGCGGCUGCAGGAGGCGGGCGUGCUGGGGAGGAGCCAAGAGGGGGCUGAGGCUGAGGCUGGGGCUGCAGGUAGUCCUCACCCCCAUCCCCCAGCCCCCAGCCCGGUUUCGGGAAGCUCUCCCGAUGAAUAUUUAAUAGCUCAGCGCUGGGCCUGAUUGAAUUUUAAUGCGGGCGACCCGAGCCCGGAGCCCGAGUCCAGGCAAUUAGUCAGGAGCCAUU